RNAcentral lists this ribosomal RNA (486 nucleotides) under uncultured bacterium. Its description in RNAcentral is "partial 16S ribosomal RNA". It matches the Rfam family "Bacterial small subunit ribosomal RNA", at positions 30 to 507 of the family's 1533-position model. The record is from RNAcentral.
AUUGAACGCUGGCGGCAUGCCUUACACAUGCAAGUCGAACGGCAGCACGGGUGCUUGCAGCUGGUGGCGAGUGGCGAACGGGUGAGUAAUACAUCGGAACAUGUCCUGUAGUGGGGGAUAGCCCGGCGAAAGCCGGAUUAAUACCGCAUACGAUCCACGGAUGAAAGCGGGGGACCUUCGGGCCUCGCGCUAUAGGGUUGGCCGAUGGCUGAUUAGCUAGUUGGUGGGGUAAAGGCCUACCAAGGCGACGAUCAGUAGCUGGUCUGAGAGGACGACCAGCCACACUGGGACUGAGACACGGCCCAGACUCCUACGGGAGGCAGCAGUGGGGAAUUUUGGACAAUGGGCGAAAGCCUGAUCCAGCAAUGCCGCGUGUGUGAAGAAGGCCUUCGGGUUGUAAAGCACUUUUGUCCGGAAAGAAAUCCUUGACUCUAAUACAGUCGGGGGAUGACGGUACCGGAAGAAUAAGCACCGGCUAACUACGUG